ACCUACUUAACUCAGUGGUUAGAGUAUCGCUUUCAUAAGGCGAGAGUCAUUGGUUCAAGUCCAAUAGUAGGUA
Molecule: transfer RNA, 73 nt
Filed under: Ephedra foliata
Lineage: Eukaryota; Viridiplantae; Streptophyta; Gnetopsida; Ephedrales; Ephedraceae
Also listed under: 1 other name
Description: tRNA-fMet
Rfam family: tRNA
About the family: Transfer RNA (tRNA) molecules are approximately 80 nucleotides in length. Their secondary structure includes four short double-helical elements and three loops (D, anti-codon, and T loops).
Source: RNAcentral